AUUGAACGCUGGCGGCAUGCCUUACACAUGCAAGUCGAACGGUAACAGGUCUUCGGGAUGCUGACGAGUGGCGAACGGGUGAGUAAUACAUCGGAACGUGCCCAAUCGUGGGGGAUAACGAAGCGAAAGCUUUGCUAAUACCGCAUACGAUCUACGGAUGAAAGCAGGGGACCGCAAGGCCUUGCGCGAACGGAGCGGCCGAUGGCAGAUUAGGUAGUUGGUGGGAUAAAAGCUUACCAAGCCGACGAUCUGUAGCUGGUCUGAGAGGACGACCAGCCACACUGGGACUGAGACACGGCCCAGACUCCUACGGGAGGCAGCAGUGGGGAAUUUUGGACAAUGGGCGAAAGCCUGAUCCAGCCAUGCCGCGUGCAGGAUGAAGGCCUUCGGGUUGUAAACUGCUUUUGUACGGAACGAAAAGACUCUGGUUAAUACCUGGGGUCCAUGACGGUACCGUAAGAAUAAGCACCGGCUAACUACGUGCCAGCAGCCGCGGUAAUACGUAGGGUGCAAGCGUUAAUCGGAAUUACUGGGCGUAAAGCGUGCGCAGGCGGUUAUAUAAGACAGAUGUGAAAUCCCCGGGCUCAACCUGGGAACUGCAUUUGUGACUGUAUAGCUAGAGUACGGCAGAGGGGGAUGGAAUUCCGCGUGUAGCAGUGAAAUGCGUAGAUAUGCGGAGGAACACCGAUGGCGAAGGCAAUCCCCUGGGCCUGUACUGACGCUCAUGCACGAAAGCGUGGGGAGCAAACAGG
RNAcentral lists this ribosomal RNA (752 nucleotides) under uncultured Comamonadaceae bacterium. RNAcentral's name for it is "bacterial SSU rRNA". It matches the Rfam family "Bacterial small subunit ribosomal RNA", at positions 28 to 776 of the family's 1533-position model. Lineage: Bacteria; Pseudomonadati; Pseudomonadota; Betaproteobacteria; Burkholderiales; Comamonadaceae. The record is from RNAcentral.